CGAGGGAGGCCGGAUCCUGGGCUGUGUCCCGGCGCCCUGUGCUCCGGGGUCUGCGCUGUGGAUUCGAGCUCUCGCCCCGCAGCCCCCU
Molecule: microRNA precursor, 88 nt
Filed under: Canis lupus familiaris (dog)
Lineage: Eukaryota; Metazoa; Chordata; Mammalia; Carnivora; Canidae
Description: mir-8799 microRNA precursor family
Rfam family: mir-8799 microRNA precursor family
Source: Rfam by way of RNAcentral